Long non-coding RNA from Ailuropoda melanoleuca (giant panda), 777 nucleotides. RefSeq lists it as uncharacterized. The record is from RefSeq and is a predicted model, not a curated record. NCBI's taxonomy places the organism in Eukaryota, Metazoa, Chordata, Mammalia, Carnivora, Ursidae. The transcript has 3 exons.
GCCCGCGUUCCUUACCGAGAGCCGCCGGCGCCGUCGCCUUCCCGGCGCCGCCCCCGCCCCUCCGCGCGGGGCCGGGGGCAGAGUGGGCGUCUCGCCUCUCCUCACGAAACAAAGGCCGCCGCCGCCGCCGAGUGAGGCAUUACUUUACAGUAGAGAACACGUGGAAGUGAUGCAAGUGUCCAUCAACAGAUGAAUAGAUAACGUGAUGAAUACACACAAUGGAAUAUUAUUCAGCUUCAAAGAGGAAAGAAGUUCUGAUGCCUGGUACAACAUGGAUGAACCCUGAGAACAUUAUGCUGCGUGAAAUAAACCAGACUAAAAGGACAAGUAUUGUUUGAUUCCACUUAUACAAGGCUAAAGCACAUGGUCUCACUUAACUCAUGUCACCUAACAGAGUCUCUUGCCUCCUGGCCCUUGUAUCCUCUUGUGUAACUAACUAACCCGGAAGCCCUAGGAUGAUGUGCUCCACAGAGGUGAACUAUGUAGAAGCCAUUGCCAGGACAAGGAGGACCAAUGGUUAAGACCUUGGGUUGAACCAGACUGCUUGGGCCUGAAUGCAGGUCCUGCCACUUUCCUGUAAGAUGGGAACAAGGGAACAGCAAGAGUAUCUGUAUGAACAAAAUGGAAAUAUUAAUAAAGAGUUAGAAAACCUUGGGACACCUUGGCUCAGUCAGUUAAGUGUCUGCCUUUGGCUUGGGUCAUGGUCCCAGGGUCCUGAGAUCGAGCUCUACAGUGGGCUCCCUGCUCGGUGGGGAACCUACUUCUCUGUCUGCCUGU